GGGGCUCCCGCCUCUGAAAGAAAAACAAAGAGUAUGGAUUAGUAAAAUAUUUUAAAAGAGGGGGUAGGGGCCUAUUUAAAGAAAAAUAUACUCAUCUUUCAAUGGGCUUCUUCUGUUAUCUUCUUUCAUCCCGCGUCUGAAAUAAAAACAAAGAGUAUAGAUUAGUAAAAUAUUUCAAAAGAGGGGGUAGGGGCCUAUUUAAAGAAAAAUAUACUCAUCUUUCAAUGGGUUACUUCUGUUAUCUUCUUUCAUCCCGUCUCUGAAAGAAAAACAAAGAGUAUAGAUUAGUAAAAUAUUUUAAAAGAGGGGGUAGGGGCCUAUUUAAAGAAAAAUAUACU
This 338-nucleotide long non-coding RNA is filed under the name Mytilus galloprovincialis (Mediterranean mussel). Lineage: Eukaryota; Metazoa; Mollusca; Bivalvia; Mytilida; Mytilidae. The record is from RNAcentral.